Molecule: ribosomal RNA, 431 nt
Filed under: uncultured bacterium
Lineage: Bacteria
Description: partial 16S ribosomal RNA
Rfam family: Bacterial small subunit ribosomal RNA
Source: RNAcentral
AACGAACGCUGGCGGUAGGCUUAACACAUGCAAGUCGAACGCCCCGCAAGGGGAGUGGCAGACGGGUGAGUAACGCGUGGGAAUCUACCCAUCCCUACGGAAUAACGCAUGGAAACGUGUGCUAAUACCGUAUACGCCCUACGGGGGAAAGAUUUAUCGGGGAUGGAUGAGCCCGCGUUGGAUUAGCUAGUUGGUGGGGUAAAGGCCUACCAAGGCGACGAUCCAUAGCUGGUCUGAGAGGAUGAUCAGCCACAUUGGGACUGAGACACGGCCCAAACUCCUACGGGAGGCAGCAGUGGGGAAUAUUGGACAAUGGGCGCAAGCCUGAUCCAGCCAUGCCGCGUGAGUGAUGAAGGCCUUAGGGUUGUAAAGCUCUUUCACCGGAGAAGAUAAUGACGGUAUCCGGAGAAGAAGCCCCGGCUAACUUCGUG